RNAcentral lists this unclassified non-coding RNA (279 nucleotides) under plant metagenome. RNAcentral describes it as "partial contains small subunit ribosomal RNA, internal transcribed spacer 1, and 5.8S ribosomal RNA". The stretch from base 1 to 48 matches the Rfam family "Eukaryotic small subunit ribosomal RNA", at positions 1784 to 1831 of the family's 1831-position model. The record is from RNAcentral.
GGAAGUCGUAACAAGGUUUCCGUAGGUGAACCUGCGGAAGGAUCAUUAUUGUAUAACCGAGGUGCGAGGGCUGUCGCUGACCCGAAAGGUCGUGCACGCCCGAGUGCCCUCACACACAUCCAUCUCACCCCUAUGUGCACCACCGCGUGGGUCCCCCUUUGGCUUGUUCGGAGGGGGGCUUACGUCUUCACACAAACUUUGUAUGCAGUGUAGAAUGUAUUUUUUGUUUUUGCGAUCACGCAAUCAAUACAACUUUCAACAACGGAUCUCUUGGCUCUC